CCACUCCAUUCACAAUAUCCUCAAAAAAAAAAUAAAAUACUUGGGAAUCAACCUAACAAAAGAGGUGAAAGAUUUAUACAAUGAAAACUACAGAACCCUAAAGAGAGAAAUAGAAGAAGACCUUAGAAGAUGGAAAAAUAUACCCUGUUCAUGGGUAGGAAGAACUAACAUCAUCAAAAUGGCGAUAUUACCCAAAGUUCUCUAUAGGUUUAAUGCAAUGCCAAUCAAAAUCCCAACGGCAUUUCUUGUAGAAAUAGAUAAAGCAAUCAUGAAAUUCAUAUGGAAAAACAAAAGACCCAGAAUAGCAAAAGCAAUUCUAAGCAGGAAGUGUGAAUCAGG
Molecule: long non-coding RNA, 339 nt
Filed under: Marmota monax (woodchuck)
Lineage: Eukaryota; Metazoa; Chordata; Mammalia; Rodentia; Sciuridae
Source: RNAcentral